Molecule: ribosomal RNA, 440 nt
Filed under: uncultured bacterium
Lineage: Bacteria
Description: partial 16S ribosomal RNA
Rfam family: Bacterial small subunit ribosomal RNA
Source: RNAcentral
CUACGGGGCGCUCCAGUGAGGAAUAUUGCACAAUGGGGGGAACCCUGAUGCAGCAACGCCGCGUGGAGGAUGACGCAUUUCGGUGUGUAAACUCCUUUUAUAUGUCAAGAAAAUGACGGUAGCAUAUGAAUAAGCACCGGCUAACUCCGUGCCAGCAGCCGCGGUGAGUACGGAGGGUGCAAGCGUUACUCGGAAUCACUGGGCGUAAAGGACGCGUAGGCGGGUUGGAAAGUCAGGUGUGAAAUCCUACAGCUUAACUGUAGAACUGCACUUGAAACUUCUAAUAUAGAGUAUGGGAGGGGGAGAUGGAAUUAGUGGUGUAGGGGUAAAAUCCGUAGAUAUCACUAGGAAUACCUAAAGCGAAGGCGAUCUCCUGGAACAUUACUGACGCUAAGGCGUGAAAGCGUGGGGAGCAAACAGGAUUAGAUACCCGCGUAGUC